Molecule: ribosomal RNA, 292 nt
Filed under: Sphingobium sp.
Lineage: Bacteria; Pseudomonadati; Pseudomonadota; Alphaproteobacteria; Sphingomonadales; Sphingobiaceae
Description: partial 23S ribosomal RNA
Rfam family: Bacterial large subunit ribosomal RNA
Source: RNAcentral
UCGCGAGACAGUUUGGUCCCUAUCUGCCGUGGGCGUCGAAAUUUGAGAGGAGUUGACCCUAGUACGAGAGGACCGGGUUGAACAUACCUCUGGUGUACCAGUCGUUCCGCCAGGAGCGCAGCUGGGUAGCUAUGUAUGGACGGGAUAACCGCUGAAAGCAUCUAAGCGGGAAGCCUCCCUCAAGAUAAGAUUUCAUCGAGCCGUAGUAGACCACUACGUUGAUAGGCCGGAUGUGGAAGCGCGGUAACGCGUGAAGCUAACCGGUCCUAAUUGCUCUGUUCGCGCUUAAACG